CCCCACGCUUAUGUUCUUUCAGAAAAGAUAUCCAUGGAACAAAUCAUCUGAAAACUAAGAGAGGAUGAAGAAUACUUCUGUUAAAAAGUUGAAGUAACUGAUGAGCAGAUCAAUCCAACUUGAACAUGAUAUGAUUUCUCCAAUGAUGAAAACAAGUCUCUCUAUACUCAAGCAUUGAUAUUUUUAAAGUCAACUGAAACUGGAACAGGUCAUACAUGCAGACUACAGUGAUGUGUUGCACAGUUCCGAAAACAUGCAGCCACCACUAGCAUAAGCAUGAUAAGUGUAAGUGGGUCAUCAAAGAACGAGAACCACUCAAGGACUUUUCUGUUGGUUGAUGAUGGACUACAAACUGAAUUUUUAACAAAGGAAUCCACCUUAGUGCUUAUUGGUUACUUAUAAUGUGAACUUGUGCAUUUAUUAUACCAAGUAAUUUUACAUUUCCUUAAUAAUACUAGACUUGCAUAAACCGAAUUCAGGUUUAGUUGAUUGAUUGCAGUAAUGCAGUUCUAAGUUCCUCUCGCAAGAUUAUAUCUCUGAUGUAUGAGACAUCAUUAAAUGCAGACAUUUUCUCUGUCCUCCUGUCGUGACUUGAGGGCUCGGACUUAGCUGUAAAAAUGUUUAUGAUGCAAGAGAAAAAUGUUCAACCGAUGUAUGUAAAUGUUGAUAAUAACAUUAAAUAUUCUUUGAUAACUAG
Long non-coding RNA from Saccostrea cuccullata (small rock oyster), 697 nucleotides. RefSeq lists it as uncharacterized. The record is from RefSeq and is a predicted model, not a curated record. Lineage: Eukaryota; Metazoa; Mollusca; Bivalvia; Ostreida; Ostreidae. The transcript is spliced from 3 exons.